Myotis daubentonii (Daubenton's bat) is the source of this 337-nucleotide long non-coding RNA. RefSeq lists it as uncharacterized. The record is from RefSeq and is a predicted model, not a curated record. NCBI's taxonomy places the organism in Eukaryota, Metazoa, Chordata, Mammalia, Chiroptera, Vespertilionidae.
GAAGAUGUGCGGAGGCAAGGCCAGUGAACUUUGGUGGAUCAAGCAGCCCCGACCAGGAUUCGGAGGAGAGGCCUUGGGGAAGGAAGUUGAAUAAAGAGAAGAACAAGGUCCUAGAAGACACUGAAAUCAACAAUGGAAUGAGCCUGAGCCCCUGAACAUAAACCCAGUAUGCUCUGCUUUGCACCAGUGACCUUAAAAGGAAGCAAUAUUUGCCUAGACUUCCAUUGCUGCUUCAUUUCAUGGGUCAAGAGACUACAGCAUCUUCAACAUUGGACUAUUGCAUUCUGUCCUUGGCUGCUUUUACUUGAAGCAGCAGAAAAUUAGAGGAAUUCCUGGA